ACAGCGAUCAAUCAUAACAAAUUAGCCAUUGUGAAGAUCAUAUGUGCAUAUAUUGACCCUUAGCUAAAUUGCGAAGUUAAACUUAUCCUAUUAUUGAUCAGAUUGUAUCUACAAAUCUAAAUCUACAUACUAUCCAAAGCAGUGAAGUCCGGCGGUAUUUGGCAUAACAGGGUACUGAACUAAAGUAGUUAUACUUAAUAUCUACUUAUGCUAAGUAGGUAUCCGCUCGAAUUCUGUGACUGGAAAAAUUAGAGGAAACUUUCCUUUUAUCAUCUCUAGAAUAACUGUGGCACUCAUCCAGAGAAAUAGUUGUACUCCGACCCAAAAACUUACCAACUUGCGGUAACGAAUCACCAAAAGAAUUUUGUAACCCGUUUUCCUACCCUAUCUGGAAUAAAGUUCACAAAAUCUA
Aedes albopictus (Asian tiger mosquito) is the source of this 412-nucleotide long non-coding RNA. RefSeq lists it as uncharacterized. The record is from RefSeq and is a predicted model, not a curated record. The transcript is spliced from 5 exons. Lineage: Eukaryota; Metazoa; Arthropoda; Insecta; Diptera; Culicidae.